AUGUACUUUCAAGUACAUUCCGGUUCCUGUGCUCCGGGCGCGCCCGGCUGACGCCCGCUCGCUACGAUUUCUAGAG
Molecule: small RNA, 76 nt
Filed under: Thiobacillus sp.
Lineage: Bacteria; Pseudomonadati; Pseudomonadota; Betaproteobacteria; Nitrosomonadales; Thiobacillaceae
Description: sX9 sRNA
Rfam family: Xanthomonas sRNA sX9
Source: RNAcentral